CUUGACAAUUUUGACCUCAAAUCAGGUAAGACUACCCGCUGAACUUAAGCAUACAAUAAGCGGAGGA
RNAcentral lists this ribosomal RNA (67 nucleotides) under Coprinopsis neophlyctidospora. RNAcentral's name for it is "partial 26S ribosomal RNA". Lineage: Eukaryota; Fungi; Basidiomycota; Agaricomycetes; Agaricales; Psathyrellaceae. The record is from RNAcentral.